AUUACCCUGCUGUGCCCGUGAUGACUAAUGAAGUUUUGAGCCAACACUUUAAAAAAAAGGGAUCGAUCUCUAAAUGUUGCAUGUAAGCCUAAGGUAGGUCUCCUUUCCUUGGAAUGGAGACAAAUAUCUAACGUUUUCUAAUUUGGUUAACGCGGAAACAUAAAGCAUUUAGGUAGAUGCCCACUUGUCUGAGGACAGGUAUCAAAACCUAAAGCACACGACAUAGCGGGGUUUUA
Molecule: non-coding RNA, 236 nt
Filed under: Candidatus Infernicultor aquiphilus
Lineage: Bacteria; Pseudomonadati; Atribacterota; Candidatus Phoenicimicrobiia; Candidatus Pheonicimicrobiales; Candidatus Phoenicimicrobiaceae
Also listed under: 1 other name
Description: Candidatus Atribacteria bacterium CG2_30_33_13 6S RNA
Rfam family: 6S / SsrS RNA
About the family: E. coli 6S RNA was the first non coding RNA to be sequenced, but its function was unknown until recently.
Source: RNAcentral